GACUUUGGACUCACGUAGGCAUAGGAGAACGAAACUUCUGUACAUUUUAAUCUGAAUAAUUCUUCAGGAUUUAAAAUUAAUUGGCUCUGGCUUGGUUGGACCGUACUCGGAUCUCGCCACCUCUGCGUUUCCCGAGUCACUGGCGAAGAGGUCCCAGUUCCUCUGGGAAUCGUCCUGUAUGCAACAUCUUCACAAGAGUGGCAGGCAGUUGAAUCUCUGGCCUUCGUGGGACCACUGGACAUCUGGCAGAGAACCAGGAAACCACGGUUCCCUUCUGUGAGUCCCUCAGCCGGAAAACUACAAGCUCCUCAUGCAGCUGCUGUCUACAGACCCCCUGGACUGCCUGGGGAAGUGAGUCGGAGCUCCUGCAGCAGAGGGGUGGAACAGCUACACGAAGAUCCGAAGGUGGCCAAAAAUAACAGCGCUUUCCAGAUGAGGGAGCCAGUUGUCCAGCACAGUGUCAUGGGACAGUGGGCCCUGGUGCCACAAUGCCCGGCAUCUCCACCAGAUACAGCUUUGAGAUCUUCAUGAUGAAGCUUGCUCCAAUCCAAGGGCUGUCAGGUGGGGUUUGCGGUUCAGCUGCUAACCUUUCUUUGGUUUCAUCUGGGUGUUUGGCAUCAUGUUCAGAAAUGUGAAAAAUAAAAUUCAGCACCGUUAUUACUGAAUUAGAUAAAAUGAUUGUAUUUAAUUAAUCCGUAAAUAUUAACUAAUUAUUCUGUUUACCAUAACAUGUAAUGAAUAUAAUUCUCCACCAGGCAAAUAAAGAAAGAAAGAUGUAAUUAGGUGAUUUAAGCAUAAAACUUGGCUGAAAGCAUAUUUAAAUCUUGGUCAUAGUUUACUGGCAUUAAUUUCCUUGGGCAAAAAUCUUUGUAGGUCCUCAGACAACCAUUUUCUCUUCUGAGGAAUAGAUUUCCCUCGUUCUUCUGAGGGUCUGUUCAUUUACAAUGUGUUUUGACAGUAGUAAAAUUUAGUAAACAUUCAGUAACAUAUGAGAUACAUCUAGUAAUAGAUGUUUUCUUUGCCAAGUGAAUUAUCUGGGGCUGAUAAAAAUCAGUGUAAAACCCACUCUCAGAGCAGCCUUCUGACAUGCCUGAGGCUGAACCCCGAAGAGGAAUCUACUGAAACUGGACUUGAAAGCCUUUGUCACAAUGAAAAGCACCUUCUGUGACUGACAUUCUUUUGUGAUCUCCUCCAAAAAAGUUAUCAUAAUUAUUGAACAUUUCCUCUGUAGCUUAUUCUCAAUCCAAUCAGUUAUAAUGAAAAUAGUCUGCUUGCUUUUUAUAUUCUUAAGUUUUCAAAAUGAUUAGUGCUUCCUUGAGAUAUCCCAUUAAUUGGACACACAACCCAGAUGAAAAGGCUGAAACCCAAGAGUAUAUAAAAAAACAUAAGGUUGUUGCAAUUUAAGUGCCUUCAAAAGAUCUAAUUUGAUUUCUAAAAGCAAUUUUGCAGAUGUGAAAAUUAAAGGCACGCAGAAACAAGAUAUGAUUUAAUGAACGUGUAGGUUAAGAAACAUUUAGAGGUUUCAGUAGCUUUACUCUGACGUUUUUGUUUGUUUGUUUAGCUGUUAUGUUGGAAAGAUUGAGUCCACAACACAAUAAAAAUUACUGAAUUUUA
Long non-coding RNA from Homo sapiens (human), 1614 nucleotides. Ensembl annotates it as NR2F2 antisense RNA 1. Its record names the gene NR2F2-AS1. NCBI's taxonomy places the organism in Eukaryota, Metazoa, Chordata, Mammalia, Primates, Hominidae. The record is from Ensembl.